RNAcentral lists this non-coding RNA (28 nucleotides) under Bombyx mori (domestic silkworm). The record is from RNAcentral. Lineage: Eukaryota; Metazoa; Arthropoda; Insecta; Lepidoptera; Bombycidae.
CCUGUGUUCAAUAGAGCCGCUCAGGUCC